GACGAACGCUGGCGGCGUGCUUAACACAUGCAAGUCGAACGGUGAUGCUCCAGCUUGCUGGCGUGGAUCAGUGGCGAACGGGUGAGUAACACAUGAGCAACCUGCCCCAGACUCUGGAAUAAGCGCUGGAAACGGCGUCUAAUACUGGAUACGAAACUGGCCCGCAUGGGCAUGGUUUGGAAAGUUUUUCGGUUUGGGAUGGGCUCGCGGCCUAUCAGCUUGUUGGUGAGGUAAUGGCUCACCAAGGCGACGACGGGUAGCCGGCCUGAGAGGGCGACCGGCCACACUGGGACUGAGACACGGCCCAGACUCCUACGGGAGGCAGCAGUGGGGAAUAUUGCACAAUGGGCGAAAGCCUGAUGCAGCGACGCCGCGUGAGGGAUGACGGCCUUCGGGUUGUAAACCUCUUUCAGCAGGGAAGAAGCGAAAGUGACGGUACCUGCAGAAGAAGCACCGGCUAACUACGUG
RNAcentral lists this ribosomal RNA (468 nucleotides) under uncultured bacterium. RNAcentral's name for it is "partial 16S ribosomal RNA". It matches the Rfam family "Bacterial small subunit ribosomal RNA", at positions 28 to 507 of the family's 1533-position model. The record is from RNAcentral.